Molecule: small RNA, 267 nt
Filed under: Myotis lucifugus (little brown bat)
Lineage: Eukaryota; Metazoa; Chordata; Mammalia; Chiroptera; Vespertilionidae
Description: 7SK RNA (ENSMLUG00000022483.1)
Source: RNAcentral
AGUCGUUGGAUUGAUCUGGGUGCCAUAUCUGAUAUGCCAAUGAUCACCAGGAUCGAUGGGCUAAUCUGGUUGGCUAAGUGCAAGUCUCCAUCUAUCUCACCGUGCAAUGAAAGUCCCUCCUGAAGUUGUGCUUUGGUCAAAAACAACAUCCCAGAGUAAGUCAAGGCUAAAUCAGUUAAUGAGCUCCAUUAUGUUAGUAAAGGAAAGCACUUAACCAUAGUUACCAGCUCUGCACACUCACCGAUUCCAGGAAAGGGGGUUGUUGUG